AGAAUCAACGCUGGCGGCGUGCCUAACACAUGCAAGUCGAACGCGAAAGUCCCGCAAGGGGCAAGUAGAGUGGCAAACGGGUGAGUAACGCGUGGGCGACCUACCUCUGAGUGGGGGAUAACCGUUCCGAAAGGAGGGCUAAUACCGCAUGACAUUCCGCCUUUAGAUAGGCGGUCAUCAAAGCCGGGGAUCGCAAGACCUGGCGCUUGGAGAGGGGCCCGCGUCCGAUUAGCUAGUUGGUGAGGUAACGGCUCACCAAGGCUCCGAUCGGUA
This 273-nucleotide ribosomal RNA is filed under the name uncultured bacterium. Its description in RNAcentral is "partial small subunit ribosomal RNA". It matches the Rfam family "Bacterial small subunit ribosomal RNA", at positions 26 to 285 of the family's 1533-position model. The record is from RNAcentral.